Molecule: ribosomal RNA, 870 nt
Filed under: uncultured bacterium
Lineage: Bacteria
Description: bacterial SSU rRNA
Rfam family: Bacterial small subunit ribosomal RNA
Source: RNAcentral
AGUCGAGCGGGGAAGGGUAGCUUGCUACCUGACCUAGCGGCGGACGGGUGAGUAAUGCUUAGGAAUCUGCCUAUUAGUGGGGGACAACAUUCCGAAAGGAAUGCUAAUACCGCAUACGCCCUACGGGGGAAAGCAGGGGAUCUUCGGACCUUGCGCUAAUAGAUGAGCCUAAGUCAGAUUAGCUAGUUGGUGGGGUAAAGGCCUACCAAGGCGACGAUCUGUAGCGGGUCUGAGAGGAUGAUCCGCCACACUGGGACUGAGACACGGCCCAGACUCCUACGGGAGGCAGCAGUGGGGAAUAUUGGACAAUGGGCGAAAGCCUGAUCCAGCCAUGCCGCGUGUGUGAAGAAGGCCUUUUGGUUGUAAAGCACUUUAAGCGAGGAGGAGGCUACUUGGAUUAAUACUCUAGGAUAGUGGACGUUACUCGCAGAAUAAGCACCGGCUAACUCUGUGCCAGCAGCCGCGGUAAUACAGAGGGUGCGAGCGUUAAUCGGAUUUACUGGGCGUAAAGCGUGCGUAGGCGGCUUUUUAAGUCGGAUGUGAAAUCCCUGAGCUUAACUUAGGAAUUGCAUUCGAUACUGGGAAGCUAGAGUAUGGGAGAGGAUGGUAGAAUUCCAGGUGUAGCGGUGAAAUGCGUAGAGAUCUGGGAGGAAUACCGAUGGCGAAGGCAGCCAUCUGGCCUAAUACUGACGCUGAGGUACGAAAGCAUGGGGAGCAAACAGGAUUAGAUACCCUGGUAGUUCAUGCCGUAAACGAUGUCUACUAGCCCGUUGGGGCCUUUGAGCUUUAGUGGCGCAGCUNCGCGAUAAGUAGACCCGCCUGGGGAGNACCGUCGCAGAACUAAAACUCAAAAUGAAUUGACGGGGGCCC